Molecule: ribosomal RNA, 462 nt
Filed under: uncultured bacterium
Lineage: Bacteria
Description: partial 16S ribosomal RNA
Rfam family: Bacterial small subunit ribosomal RNA
Source: RNAcentral
GACGAACGCUGGCGGCGUGCUUAACACAUGCAAGUCGAGCGGAAAGGCCCUUCGUGGUACUCGAGCGGCGAACGGGUGAGUAACACGUGAGUAACCUGCCCCAGACUUUGGGAUAACCCUCGGAAACGGGGGCUAAUACCGGAUACGACACAGCUUCGCAUGGGGUCUGUGUGGAAAGUUUUUCGGUUUGGGAUGGGCUCGCGGCCUAUCAGCUUGUUGGUGGGGUGAUGGCCUAUCAAGGCGACGACGGGUAGCCGGCCUGAGAGGGCGACCGGCCACACUGGGACUGAGACACGGCCCAGACUCCUACGGGAGGCAGCAGUGGGGAAUAUUGCACAAUGGGCGGAAGCCUGAUGCAGCGACGCCGCGUGAGGGAUGACGGCCUUCGGGUUGUAAACCUCUUUCAGCAGGGACGAAGCGUAAGUGACGGUACCUGCAGAAGAAGCGCCGGCAAACUACGUG